This is a long non-coding RNA of Haliotis rufescens (red abalone), 2712 nucleotides long. RefSeq lists it as uncharacterized. The record is from RefSeq and is a predicted model, not a curated record. Lineage: Eukaryota; Metazoa; Mollusca; Gastropoda; Lepetellida; Haliotidae. The transcript is spliced from 2 exons.
CGUGCUCGUGGGUUUCACCAAAGUGAUAAACGUCUGAGACCUGCAUCACUUCGGGCUUUCCUCCCAUUUUAAGCUGAUAUAACUGGAAUACUGUUAAAAGCGGUGUUAAACCCAACUCACUAACUACUACAAACAUGUACCAGAUUUGUCCUAGGAAUGGAAUAACACUUAUAUACAAUCUUCAUGAUAUAUAUACAAUGAGCAAUGAGCCAGCUGUUUUCUAUUAGUGUAACAACCUGUUUUUCUAGUUAUGGAAUACCGCUUAUAUACAAUCUUCAUCAUAUCUAUAUAUAUAUAUGAAAUGAGCCAGCUAUUUUGAAUCUGUAUUAAUUCCUGUGUCGCACCGAUUCUCUCCCAGUAGUCUUAGACCAUUCCAAGAAGGUACUUGUUAAACGGGUAUCUCAGCAGAUCUCAGUCCUCUAUAUGUUCAUCUUAGAGAUUGACAACGUCACAUAGGAAAUUUACUGCAAUAUUUCUACGAUUCCAUAUUUUUGCUGUCAGACAAAUUUCUAAAUGAAUCUAGUCGAAUUUCCCCAAUAUUUCAGCAGUUAAGGUCGUCCAUUAGUAUUACAGACACUGAGACAAGGAUUUAAAGAAUCUUUUCGCAUCACACAUUCCGCCAUGAGGAUUUGUUACCUUAUCAUUUUGUUAUAGAGUCGUAUCAUGUACAUGACUAUUUUGUCACAUUGCGAGGUCAUAGGUUUGACUUCUGUUUAUUGUGUCUCCGUCCCGAGCUGGUCUAUAUCGGCCAUGUGUAUCAUUUCGUACAUGCUUCAUUUAAUUUACAUCAAGUUGCAGACUCAGCAUAUUUUGUUGUACGUCUUAGUCACUAGGAUUUUGUUCGUUGCCAUGGUUACCACCCACGGUCAAGAUGUGUGUAUACAGAUGAGUAGAUUUUUUUAUCUUUUACUUUUUUUCUAGUUUUAUAGACUUCAUAAUUUAUUUGUAGAUUCUUUCCGAGAUGAGAGUUCUGACGAUGUUUUAGUAGAAACUGUUGGCAGAAAGUGUCCUCUUCAAACGUAUACAUCUAGUCAAGGUGAUAUAUUUACGAUAACUUUCUGUGAAUCUGUGGAGAUCUGAAAAUUUGGAGACGUCCUUGAUAAGAGUGGCUUAUUGUGUGGAAUAAUGGCAUAUUGUGGUGAAGAAUUGAAGCGUAAAUAGAGAAAAGAGGCUGAUCACAGGUAGAGAUUAAGGCUUAUAGUGGGGAACAUGAAGCUUUUGGUAGAGAAUAAAGGCUUACAGUGGGGAAUAGGGCUUAUCGUGGGGAAUAUGAGGCAUAGGUAGAGAAUAAAGGCUUAUAGCGGGGAAUAGGGCUUAUCGUGGGGAAUAUGAAGCAUAGGUAGAGAAUAAAGGCUUAUAGUGGGGAAUAGGGCUUAUCGGUGGGGAAUAUGAGGCAUAGGUAGAGAAUAAAGGCUUAUAGUGGGGAAUACGAGGUAUCAGUGGGGAAUAUGAAGCUUUUGGUAGAGAAUAAAGGCUUGUGGGGAAUAUGAGGUAUCGGUGGGAAAUAUGAAGCUUAUGGUAGAGAAUAAAGCUUAUAGUGGGGAAUAUGAGGUAUCGGUGGGGAAUAUGAGGUAUCGGUGGGGAAUAUGAAGCUUAUGGUAGAGAAUAAAGGCUUAUGGUUGGGAAUAUGAGGUAUCGGUGGGGAAUAUGAAGCUUUUGGUAGAGAAUAAAGGCUUAUGGUGGGGAAUAUGAGGUAUCGGUGGGGAAUAUGAGGUAUCGGUGGGGAAUACGAGGUAUCGGUGGGGAAUAUGAAGCUUUUGGUAGAGAAUAAAGGCUUAUGGUGGGGAAUAUGAGGUAUCGGUGGGGAAUAUGAAGCUUAUGGUAGAGAAUAAAGGCUUAUGGUGGGGAAUAUGAAGCUUAUGGUAGAAAAUAAAGGCUUAUGGUGGGGAAUAUGAAGCAUAGGUAGAGAAUAAAGGCUUAUGGUGGGGAAUAUGAAGCAUAGGUAGAGAAUAAAGGCUUAUGGUGGGGAAUAUAGAGCUCAAGUAAUGGCUAAAACUGCCUCCAAGUAAGAGAUACAAGGAGUAUAUCUAAGUGUAAAGUGUUGUGUAUUGUCAUGAGAACAUUCAGCAUUAUGUUUGUACCGCUCUCCCCGGUGUUGCUGGCAGUGUUCCCAAUGUCUGCUCAAUCACUGGGCCCUACCUGCUUCCUGUACUUAUUUGGAAGAAAAAUAUGACAAAUUGAUUUGAUUUGUAUUGUUGCAAAGAUCAUGUUUUUCUCAAAGUUCUUGUUAAUUGAAUUCAAAUUUCAUGUUUUUUCUGAAAUGUUAUUGGAGUCUUGUUUUUUGAAAGAACAUUUCAUGUUUUUUAAACGCAAUUAUUGGACAAUCAAUUUCAUGCAAAAAUUGUUUCAAUUUUCAUUCAGAUAUUGUCAUAUUUUUUUCAGUUUUCAUACAAAUAUAUGUUCAUUCUGCAAGGUUGACUCAAGAAUAUUUUGCCCUUAACGCCCAUGUUUUGAUGCUAGCGGUCACUGCCGAGAUCAGCCCACCCGUUUCAAGUGUCCGAGUCACUGCCUGUGUGUCCACCACUGUGUAUGACCCUCUCAAUGUGCGCUGUAAUGCAAUUAGCUGUUCACUCGUGUACAAACUGCCUAUUUAUGUCCAUAUAUCCCAUGUCUGUGUGUCUACAGUCUUCACUACGCAUGAAGCAUUAUGUGAUUAUCUGCCGCUUCAGUCGGCCGUGGCAAAAUGUCAAAAUAAAUACAAAUUGCAAAGUA